RNAcentral lists this ribosomal RNA (484 nucleotides) under Colletotrichum sp. PP9. RNAcentral describes it as "eukaryotic LSU rRNA". The stretch from base 145 to 298 matches the Rfam family "5.8S ribosomal RNA". The record is from RNAcentral. Lineage: Eukaryota; Fungi; Ascomycota; Sordariomycetes; Glomerellales; Glomerellaceae.
AUCGAYUUACUCUAACCCUUUGUGACCUUACUGUUGCAAUUCGGGGUUUCCGCGACCCCCGAAAGCUACGAACCUCGGGUCGGCCGCCGGAGAUACCAAUCUAUUUAACGACGUUUCUUCUGAGUGGUACAAGCAAAUAAUCAAAACUUUUAACAACGGAUCUCUUGGUUCUGGCAUCGAUGAAGAACGCAGCGAAAUGCGAUAAGUAAUGUGAAUUGCAGAAUUCAGUGAAUCAUCGAAUCUUUGAACGCACAUUGCGCCCGCCAGCAUUCUGGCGGGCAUGCCUGUUCGAGCGUCAUUUCAACCCUCAAGCUCUGCUUGGUGUUGGGGCCCUACAGCUGAUGUAGGCCCUCAAAGGUAGUGGCGGACCCUCCCGGAGCCUCCUUUGCGUAGUAACUUUACGUCUCGCACUGGGUCCGGAGGGACUCUUGCCGUAAAACCCCCCAAUUCUCCAAAGGUUGACCUCGGAUUCAGGUAGGAAUCC